This 87-nucleotide non-coding RNA is filed under the name pig gut metagenome. RNAcentral's name for it is "Glycine riboswitch". It matches the Rfam family "Glycine riboswitch aptamer". Rfam says of the family: This family represents the bacterial glycine riboswitch. Glycine riboswitches usually consist of two metabolite-binding aptamers domains with similar structures in tandem. The record is from RNAcentral.
ACGGAACUCUGGAGAAGCCCGUGCAGGGAACGGGUGCCGAAGGUGCAAGGCGAAAGUCUAAUCUCUCAGGCAAAAGGACAGAGCGCA